CCUACGGGAGGCUGCAGUAGGGAAUCUUCCACAAUGGACGAAAGUCUGAUGGAGCAACGCCGCGUGAGUGAAGAAGGGUUUCGGCUCGUAAAGCUCUGUUGGUAGUGAAGAAAGAUAGAGGUAGUAACUGGCCUUUAUUUGACGGUAAUUACUUAGAAAGUCACGGCUAACUACGUGCCAGCAGCCGCGGUAAUACGGAGGUGGCAAGCGUUGUCCGGAUUUAUUGGGCGUAAGGCGAGUGCAGGCGGUUCAAUAAGUCUGAUGUGAAAGCCUUCGGCUCAACCGGAGAAUUGCAUCAGAAACUGUUGAACUGGAGUGCAGAAGAGGAGAGUGGAACGCGAUGUGUAGCGGUGGAAGGCGUAGAUAUAUGGAAGAACACCAGUGGCGAAGGCGGCUCUCUGGUCUGCAACUGACGCUGAGGCUCGAAAGCAUGGGUAGCAAACAGGAUUAGAUACCCCAGUAGUC
RNAcentral lists this ribosomal RNA (465 nucleotides) under uncultured bacterium. RNAcentral describes it as "partial 16S ribosomal RNA". It matches the Rfam family "Bacterial small subunit ribosomal RNA", at positions 338 to 795 of the family's 1533-position model. The record is from RNAcentral.